This 736-nucleotide long non-coding RNA is filed under the name Brassica rapa (field mustard). Its description in RNAcentral is "long non-coding RNA (BRAP_LNC007347)". Lineage: Eukaryota; Viridiplantae; Streptophyta; Magnoliopsida; Brassicales; Brassicaceae. The record is from RNAcentral.
AAAUAAAUGCUCAAAAAAUUAAGAGACACGUGCAAUACUUGGCCUUAUUUUAGUGUUAUAUAAAUUUUCUAUAACUCAAAUUUAAUUAAAAUUUAAAUUAUAUUAAAAAUUAUUAAAAUAAUAUUAUUUUUAUUGAAUAAAAACUGACAAAUAUACGCUGAUAAGAAAUUGGGAUCUCCUAAUUAAUAGAUCCAGUAGAUUUAGAUUGAGUCCUGGAUGAUUUCUCCCUGCACUGACUACAAUUAGAAGAACCGAAAACUAUAGCUCUGAUUACAAAGCGGUUUUGUUAGAAAACAUCUAGAGACAUCAUCCAUAUAGUCAAUGAUCUUUAAAAAUCUUCUGAGUAUUUUAUUAUUAAAAUCGUUUCUGAUGUAAGUAAUACUAUUACAUUAGAAACGAAUCACGGAACAGUUAAAAAAAAUGGAAUUGUGGAAUUUUUUUUUUUGUUGUCAACAAUUGUGGAGUAGUUUAAAGAAGUAAAAGUUCAGUUCUUCUUUCUUAUUUGUAUGAUCAUUAUUUCACAUCUUGCUCUCUCGAUAAACUAAUAAAUUAAGUAAAAACAAAAAAAAAAAUCCUAGAAUUAAGUGGAUGUGCAAGUUGGAGUGGGUACUGGGUACAGCACGAACAAAACGAAAAGAAUUGUCCCAUGCAUGACUUUAAUUGCUUUGGAGUUAGUUCUUCCAAAUCAAGAAUUAGUUUUAAUUGUCAAUGAAUAGUACCAACCAACUAGUAGUUG